RNAcentral lists this ribosomal RNA (253 nucleotides) under uncultured bacterium. Its description in RNAcentral is "partial 16S ribosomal RNA". It matches the Rfam family "Bacterial small subunit ribosomal RNA", at positions 524 to 776 of the family's 1533-position model. The record is from RNAcentral.
UACGUAGGGGGCAAGCGUUGUCCGGAUUUAUUGGGCGUAAAGAGCGUGUAGGCGGCCAGAUAGGUCAGCUGUGAAAACUCGAGGCUCAACCUCGAGAUGUCGGCUGAAACCAUCUGGCUAGAGUCCGGAAGAGGAGAAUGGAAUUCCCGGUGUAGCGGUGAAAUGCGCAGAUAUCGGGAAGAACACCCGUGGCGAAGGCGGGUCUCUGGGCAGUAACUGACGCUGAGGAGCGAAAGCGUGGGGAGCGAACAGG